UACAGAGGAGCCAAGCGUUGUCCGGAUUGACUGGGCGUAAAGCGCACGCAGGCGGUUGCGCGCGUGGGGUGUGAAAUCUGGCCGCUUAACGGCCAGGCGCCAUCCCAUACGGCGCGACUGGAGGGCUGCAGAGGUCGAUGGAAUUGCCGGUGUAGUGGUGAAAUGCGUAGAGAUCGGUAGGAACACCCAGGGGGAAACCAGUCGACUGGGCAGCACCUGACGCUGAGGUGCGAGAGCGUGGGGAGCGAACCGG
Molecule: ribosomal RNA, 253 nt
Filed under: uncultured bacterium
Lineage: Bacteria
Description: partial 16S ribosomal RNA
Rfam family: Bacterial small subunit ribosomal RNA
Source: RNAcentral